CACAAGAGGCCCAAAUUAACAGUAAUACGGCGUAAAGAGUGGUAUCAUGCUAUCCCAACAACUAAGAUCAAAAUACAACUAAGCUGUCAUAAGCCCAAGAUGUACCUAAAGACGCCCUCAAGACGAUCUUAGCACCCCCGACUGAUUAAACUCCACGAAAGCUAGGGCACAAACUGGGAUUAGAUACCCCACUAUGCCUAGCCCUAAAUCUUGAUACUUCCACUACUAAAGUAUCCGCCUGAGAACUACGAGCACAAACGCUUAAAACUCUAAGGACUUGGCGGUGCCCCAGACCCACCUAGAGGAGCCUGUUCUAUAAUCGAUAACCCACGAUACACCCAACCGCCCCUUGCCAGAACAGCCUAUAUACCGCCGUCGCCAGCUCACCUCGCCUGAGAGCACAACAGUGAGCAUAAUAGCCCUAGCCCCGCUAAUAAGACAGGUCAAGGUAUAGCCUAUGGGGCGGAAGAAAUGGGCUACAUUUUCUAAAAUAGACAAUCCCACGAAAAGGGGCAUGAAAUCGUCCCUAGAAGGAGGAUUUAGCAGUAAAGCGGGACAAUAAUGCCCCCUUUAAGCCGGCCCUGAGGCACGUACAUACCGCCCGUCACCCUCCUCACAAGCCACGCACACCUGUAACUAAUCCCCUUCAUCAGCUGAAGAUGAGGUAAGUCGUAACAA
RNAcentral lists this ribosomal RNA (678 nucleotides) under Aptenodytes patagonicus (king penguin). RNAcentral's name for it is "partial 12S ribosomal RNA". It matches the Rfam family "Bacterial small subunit ribosomal RNA", at positions 526 to 1494 of the family's 1533-position model. The record is from RNAcentral. Lineage: Eukaryota; Metazoa; Chordata; Aves; Sphenisciformes; Spheniscidae.